RNAcentral lists this ribosomal RNA (510 nucleotides) under uncultured bacterium. Its description in RNAcentral is "partial 16S ribosomal RNA". It matches the Rfam family "Bacterial small subunit ribosomal RNA", at positions 28 to 507 of the family's 1533-position model. The record is from RNAcentral.
GACGAACGCUGGCGGCGUGCUUAACACAUGCAAGUCGAACGAAGAGCGAUGGGAGCUUGCUUCUAUCAAUCUUAGUGGCGAACGGGUGAGUAACGCGUAAUCAACCUGCCCUUCAGAGGGGGACAACAGUUGGAAACGACUGCUAAUACCGCAUACGAUCUAAACUCGGCAUCGAGGAUAGAUGAAAGGUGGCCUCUACAUGUAAGCUAUCACUGAAGGAGGGGAUUGCGUCUGAUUAGCUAGUUGGAGGGGUAACGGCCCACCAAGGCGAUGAUCAGUAGCCGGUCGGAGAGGAUGAACGGCCACAUUGGGACUGAGACACGGCCCAGACGCCUACGGGAGGCAGCAGUGGGGAAUCUUCCGCAAUGGACGAAAGUCUGACGGAGCAACGCCGCGUGAGUGAUGACGGCCUUCGGGUUGUAAAGCUCUGUUAAUCGGGACGAAAGGCCUUCUUGCGAAUAGUGAGAAGGAUUGACGGUACCGGAAUAGAAAGCCACGGCUAACUACGUG